Molecule: ribosomal RNA, 772 nt
Filed under: Bacillus altitudinis
Lineage: Bacteria; Bacillati; Bacillota; Bacilli; Caryophanales; Bacillaceae
Description: bacterial SSU rRNA
Rfam family: Bacterial small subunit ribosomal RNA
Source: RNAcentral
GGUUACCUAUACAUGCAAAGUCGAGCGGACAGAAGGGAGCUUGCUCCCGGAUGUUAGCGGCGGACGGGUGAGUAACACGUGGGUAACCUGCCUGUAAGACUGGGAUAACUCCGGGAAACCGGAGCUAAUACCGGAUAGUUCCUUGAACCGCAUGGUUCAAGGAUGAAAGACGGUUUCGGCUGUCACUUACAGAUGGACCCGCGGCGCAUUAGCUAGUUGGUGAGGUAACGGCUCACCAAGGCGACGAUGCGUAGCCGACCUGAGAGGGUGAUCGGCCACACUGGGACUGAGACACGGCCCAGACUCCUACGGGAGGCAGCAGUAGGGAAUCUUCCGCAAUGGACGAAAGUCUGACGGAGCAACGCCGCGUGAGUGAUGAAGGUUUUCGGAUCGUAAAGCUCUGUUGUUAGGGAAGAACAAGUGCAAGAGUAACUGCUUGCACCUUGACGGUACCUAACCAGAAAGCCACGGCUAACUACGUGCCAGCAGCCGCGGUAAUACGUAGGUGGCAAGCGUUGUCCGGAAUUAUUGGGCGUAAAGGGCUCGCAGGCGGUUUCUUAAGUCUGAUGUGAAAGCCCCCGGCUCAACCGGGGAGGGUCAUUGGAAACUGGGAAACUUGAGUGCAGAAGAGGAGAGUGGAAUUCCACGUGUAGCGGUGAAAUGCGUAGAGAUGUGGAGGAACACCAGUGGCGAAGGCGACUCUCUGGUCUGUAACUGACGCUGAGGAGCGAAAGCGUGGGGAGCGAACAGGAUUAGAUAUCUGAGGUAGUCC